UACUCGCGUGGGAACGAGAGGACACUCGUG
This 30-nucleotide non-coding RNA is filed under the name Homo sapiens (human). The record is from RNAcentral. Lineage: Eukaryota; Metazoa; Chordata; Mammalia; Primates; Hominidae.